This 72-nucleotide microRNA precursor is filed under the name Myotis brandtii (Brandt's bat). RNAcentral describes it as "mir-9193 microRNA precursor family". It matches the Rfam family "mir-9193 microRNA precursor family". The record is from Rfam by way of RNAcentral. Lineage: Eukaryota; Metazoa; Chordata; Mammalia; Chiroptera; Vespertilionidae.
CUUGUGGGGGGCGUCCCUCAGCCCAGAUUGUGAGAGGGUGCAGGCCAGGCCGAGGGACCCCACUGGUGCACU